UACGAAGGGGGCUAGCGUUGCUCGGAAUCACUGGGCGUAAAGCGCACGUAGGCGGGUCUUUAAGUCAGGGGUGAAAUCCUGGAGCUCAACUCCAGAACUGCCUUUGAUACUGAGGAUCUCGAGUCCGGGAGAGGUGAGUGGAACUCCGAGUGUAGAGGUGAAAUUCGUAGAUAUUCGGAAGAACACCAGUGGCGAAGGCGGCUCACUGGACUGGUAUUGACGCUGAGGUGCGAAAGCGUGGGGAGCAAACAGG
RNAcentral lists this ribosomal RNA (253 nucleotides) under uncultured bacterium. RNAcentral's name for it is "partial 16S ribosomal RNA". It matches the Rfam family "Bacterial small subunit ribosomal RNA", at positions 524 to 776 of the family's 1533-position model. The record is from RNAcentral.